This 727-nucleotide long non-coding RNA is filed under the name Homo sapiens (human). RNAcentral's name for it is "long non-coding RNA NONHSAT195911.1". The record is from RNAcentral. Lineage: Eukaryota; Metazoa; Chordata; Mammalia; Primates; Hominidae.
GCGACCCGAGACGCCGAGGCCGAGGAGGCGCGGAGAGCGAGCGAAGGCUGCUAGCAAGUUGUCAUCUCUCAAUAGUUUUCUGGAAAGUGGGGCCAAAAGAGCUGUUUGGAUAAGCUCUUUGCCGAAGAAUAACGUGAGAAGGAAUUAUGUCUCUGAAUACUUUCUUACCCCAUCAAAUAUGAGCAAAUACUACACCUGUCAAAAUAGAUGAUAUGGGCUCCUUUGAAGAUUGGACUAGAACAUUCCAGAGAAGAUAUCAAGGAAUUAUUUCAGGAGGUAGCAAAGCCUGGCAAGGUGAAGAAAAUGUGACUGAAGAGAUUUUUUUCUGGUUCUCUUUUCAACUUUUGCAGCUUCAGUCUUCAUGUACAGAAAUAAAUUUUAUCUACAGUUAUCUCCUGGCGUUCAUUUAUGGACAUGAAAGACUAGCUACCAGCCCUCAGAUCCUAAACUUGGAUUUAAAAAAAAUCACAGUGGCUAUGGCAGGGUAACCUGUGCUGCUGCAGCCAGAGGGAUUGCUCUUUAGAUUUGGCUUGUGAAUUAGUUAAAAUACUUCAGGCUGAAAGUAGCCACAAAUUGAUUCAAACAAAACAAGAAGUCCAAGUAGGACCUGCUAAAAAUUAUUUAGGGAUUAUGAUUCCUUCAUGGUAUUUGACAAAGAACAUGAAGAGGGCAUAAAUGAUGAAGAUACUGGUUUUACACACUCACAGGGUAAUCCAGAAGGAAAAUG